Anas platyrhynchos (mallard) is the source of this 265-nucleotide long non-coding RNA. RefSeq lists it as uncharacterized. The record is from RefSeq and is a predicted model, not a curated record. NCBI's taxonomy places the organism in Eukaryota, Metazoa, Chordata, Aves, Anseriformes, Anatidae.
CCUGACAGUUUCUUACAACGAUGCCAUGCCUCGUUCUGGAAAUUGCAGCUACCUCAGGUAUUCUGCACAUUUUGAGAACUAUCUUUUGAGAAGUUCUGCAAGCUAUCCCGAAAGACAGUAUAAUGGAGACUAGGAAGUAUUCUGAAGUUGGUGUGGAUAAACAAAGAAGUUCUGCAGCACAUAACAAGACAGAGAUGUCAUCACAAGAUUUGUUAAAGGGUUAAGCCUAAAUUAAUAAAAAUAUAAUAAAAUCAAGCUACACACA